This 497-nucleotide ribosomal RNA is filed under the name uncultured bacterium. RNAcentral describes it as "partial 16S ribosomal RNA". It matches the Rfam family "Bacterial small subunit ribosomal RNA", at positions 28 to 507 of the family's 1533-position model. The record is from RNAcentral.
GAUGAACGCUGGCGGCGUGCCUAAUACAUGCAAGUCGAGCGAACAGACGAGGAGCUUGCUCUCCGGACUUUAGCGGCGGACGGGUGAUAAACACGGGGAUAACUUACCUUAAAGACUGGGAUAAUUCCGGGAAACCGGAGCUAAUACCGGAUAAUUUAUUGAACCCAUUGGUUCAUUAGUAAAAUACGGUUUUGUUUUCAUUUUUAGUUGAUUCCGCGCCGAAUUAGUUAGUUGGUAAGGUAACGGCUUACCAAGGCAACGAUGCGUAGCCGACCUGAGAGGGUGAUCGGCCACACUGGAACUGAGACACGGUCCAGACUCCUACGGGAGGCAGCAGUAGGGAAUCUUCCGCAAUGGGCGAAAGCCUGACGGAGCAACGCCGCGUGAGUGAUGAAGGUCUUCGGAUCGUAAAACUCUGUUAUUAGGGAAGAACAAAUGUGUAAGUAACUAUGCACGUCUUGACGGUACCUAAUCAGAAAGCCACGGCUAACUACGUG